RNAcentral lists this ribosomal RNA (368 nucleotides) under uncultured archaeon. RNAcentral describes it as "bacterial SSU rRNA". It matches the Rfam family "Archaeal small subunit ribosomal RNA", at positions 381 to 749 of the family's 1478-position model. The record is from RNAcentral.
CCGAGUGCCAGCAUCAUAUGUUGGCUGUCCAGAUGUGUAAAAUACAUCUGUUAGCAAGGGCCGGGCAAGACCGGUGCCAGCCGCCGCGGUAACACCGGCGGCCCGAGUGGUGAUCGUGAUUAUUGGGUCUAAAGGGUCCGUAGCCGGUUUGGUCAGUCCUCCGGGAAAUCUGACGGCUCAACCGUUAGGCUUUCGGUGGAUACUGCCAGACUUGGAACCGGGAGAGGUAAGAGGUACUACAGGGGUAGGAGUGAAAUCUUGUAAUCCCUGUGAGACCACCUGUGGCGAAGGCGUCUUACCAGAACGGGUUCGACGGUGAGGGACGAAAGCUGGGGGCACGAACCGGAUUAGAUACCCGGGUAGUCCAA